GAACGGGCACUUCGGUGCUAGUGGCAGACGGGUGAGUAACACGUGGGAACGUACCUUUCGGUUCGGAAUAAUUCAGGGAAACUUGGACUAAUACCGGAUACGCCCUUCGGGGGAAAGAUUUAUCGCCGAUAGAUCGGCCCGCGUCUGAUUAGCUAGUUGGUGAGGUAAUGGCUCACCAAGGCGACGAUCAGUAGCUGGUCUGAGAGGAUGAUCAGCCACAUUGGGACUGAGACACGGCCCAAACUCCUACGGGAGGCAGCAGUGGGGAAUAUUGGACAAUGGGCGCAAGCCUGAUCCAGCCAUGCCGCGUGAGUGAUGAAGGCCUUAGGGUUGUAAAGCUCUUUUGUCCGGGAAGAUAAUGACUGUACCGGAAGAAUAAGCCCCGGCUAACUUCGUGCCAGCAGCCGCGGUAAUACGAAGGGGGCUAGCGUUGCUCGGAAUCACUGGGCGUAAAGGGCGCGUAGGCGGACUCUUAAGUCGGGGGUGAAAGCCCAGGGCUCAACCCUGGAAUUGCCUUCGAUACUGAGAGUCUUGAGUUCGGAAGAGGUUGGUGGAACUGCGAGUGUAGAGGUGAAAUUCGUAGAUAUUCGCAAGAACACCAGUGGCGAAGGCGGCCAACUGGUCCGAUACUGACGCUGAGGCGCGAAAGCGUGGGGAGCAAACAGGAUUAGAUACCCUGG
RNAcentral lists this ribosomal RNA (680 nucleotides) under uncultured Allobosea sp. RNAcentral describes it as "bacterial SSU rRNA". It matches the Rfam family "Bacterial small subunit ribosomal RNA", at positions 64 to 790 of the family's 1533-position model. The record is from RNAcentral. Lineage: Bacteria; Pseudomonadati; Pseudomonadota; Alphaproteobacteria; Hyphomicrobiales; Alloboseaceae.